Molecule: ribosomal RNA, 367 nt
Filed under: uncultured eukaryote
Lineage: Eukaryota
Description: partial 18S ribosomal RNA
Rfam family: Eukaryotic small subunit ribosomal RNA
Source: RNAcentral
CAGUAGCGUAUAUUAUAGUUGUUGCAGUUAAAAUGCUCGUAGUUGAAGUUCGGAUGCAGCAGAGCUUGGAAACGCUGUUAUGGUGCUUCCGUUGCUUUUGCUUGUCCACAGUGCGUUGCAAGUACGUAUGUGCUUGUGCGUGCAUUUUACUUUGAGAAACAUAGGGUGUUCCACGCAUGUUACGGCAUGAAUAUUCCAGCAUGGGAUAAUCUGGUACGACUUCCAAUCUGCCAUUUUGGUUCGUAGGUUGGAAGUAAUGAUUAAUAGGGACUGUCGGGGGCAUUGGUAUUUGACUGUCAGAGGUGAAAUUCUGAGAUUCGUUGAGGACCAACCACUGCGAAAGCAUUUGUCAAGGAUGUCUCCAUUA